UACGGAGGGUGCAAGCGUUAUCCGGAUUCACUGGGUUUAAAGGGUGCGUAGGUGGGCAAGUAAGUCAGUGGUGAAAUCUCCGGGCUUAACCCGGAAACUGCCAUUGAUACUAUUUGUCUUGAAUACUGUGGAGGUCAGCGGAAUAUGUCAUGUAGCGGUGAAAUGCUUAGAUAUGACAUAGAACACCAAUUGCGAAGGCAGCUUACUACACAGUUAUUGACGCUGAGGCACGAAAGCGUGGGGAUCAAACAGG
RNAcentral lists this ribosomal RNA (253 nucleotides) under uncultured bacterium. RNAcentral's name for it is "partial 16S ribosomal RNA". It matches the Rfam family "Bacterial small subunit ribosomal RNA", at positions 524 to 776 of the family's 1533-position model. The record is from RNAcentral.